RNAcentral lists this ribosomal RNA (253 nucleotides) under uncultured bacterium. RNAcentral's name for it is "partial 16S ribosomal RNA". It matches the Rfam family "Bacterial small subunit ribosomal RNA", at positions 524 to 776 of the family's 1533-position model. The record is from RNAcentral.
GACGAACCACACGAACGUUAUUCGGAUUCACUGGGUUUAAAGGGUGCGUAGGCGGGUAUAUAAGUCAGUGGUGAAAGCUCCGGGCUUAACUUGGAAACUGCCAUUGAUACUGUAUAUCUUGAAUAUCGUAGAGGUUAGCGGAAUGUUGCAUGUAGCGGUGAAAUGCUUAGAUAUGUUACAGAACACCAAUUGCGAAGGCAGCUAACUAUGCGAUGAUUGACGCUGAGGCACGAAAGCGUGGGGAGCAAACAGG